RNAcentral lists this ribosomal RNA (253 nucleotides) under uncultured bacterium. RNAcentral's name for it is "partial 16S ribosomal RNA". It matches the Rfam family "Bacterial small subunit ribosomal RNA", at positions 524 to 776 of the family's 1533-position model. The record is from RNAcentral.
UACAGAGGUCCCGAGCGUUGUUCGGAUUCAUUGGGCGUAAAGGGUGCGUAGGCGGCGGGGCAAGUCUGAUGUGAAAUCCCGGGGCUCAACCCCGGAACUGCAUUGGAUACUGCCUUGCUUGAGUACUGGAGAGGAGACUGGAAUUUACGGUGUAGCAGUGAAAUGCGUAGAUAUCGUAAGGAAGGCCAGUGGCGAAGGCGAGUCUCUGGACAGUUACUGACGCUGAGGCACGAAGGUCAGGGGAGCAAACGGG